GACAGGCAAUCUGGAGAGCGCCGAACAUUGAGUUCAGCCACCGAAGGGGCACACGGACAACAUUCCACCGUAAAACUCUCAGGUAAAAGGACAGAGGGGUGAGG
RNAcentral lists this non-coding RNA (104 nucleotides) under Nitrosomonas nitrosa. RNAcentral describes it as "Glycine riboswitch aptamer". It matches the Rfam family "Glycine riboswitch aptamer". Rfam says of the family: This family represents the bacterial glycine riboswitch. The record is from Rfam by way of RNAcentral. Lineage: Bacteria; Pseudomonadati; Pseudomonadota; Betaproteobacteria; Nitrosomonadales; Nitrosomonadaceae.